CUUAAGUUUAGAACAUUGAUGACACACGCCUUUAAUCCCACCACUCGGGAAUAAGAGGCAGAUGGAUCUUUAUGAGUUCAAGGCCUGCCUGGUCCGGCAGAUCGAAUUCCAGGACAGGCUCCAAAGUCACAGAAAAACCCUGCCUAAGAAAGAAGUUAAGCUACUGUUUAAGGAAUAUAAGGUAGCUCUAUGCAGUUUUAAGUUCAGCUGUGCUGUUUCAAACAUCUUACUAAGUUAAAACCAGUUACAGUCAGACUAAAAAUUAUUUACAGAAAUAAGACCUUACCUAGCCACCUGUAUACUUAAUGUGUGCUUAAGGCAAAUAAUUAAAACAGACAAACAGACCUCUAAUGCUUCAGAGAUCUUCAGAAUAUGGCAUUUAAAUUGUUAUCUUUAAAGUUUAUAAUGUCAGACAGACUGCCAGAUCCUGACAGUGACCCAAAGUCUCCAAAAAAAAAAAAAAAAAGAUUACGAGGCACCUCAGUUCCCGCACCUGGACCAGUGAGCGAGAUGCUCAGAUGUGAAACCUGCCGCCUGCCAGAACCUGGCCGAGACUGUGGACAAAGCUGCUGGACACUGGAAAAUUGAUUGUACCCCUUUGCCUUGACAAAACAAGGUCAGUCUUUUCCAUGUCCCUCUUCCACAGAGAGGAAAAAAAAAAUCUCUCACAGUAUAGGCCUGGCGAAGAUUGCUGUUCUUUGAGACAGCUGCCUCCAACGGUUUCUGCUUCUGACAGACAUCUGAGUAUCAAUUGCUGACUACUGGCUGUUCUAAGUAGACUGCAAGCCCUGGACUUGCUAUGGAUGUUAACCAGUCCAGCUGAUAUGGACACCCCCUGUCUCUGCAACAAUGCCUGCUAACCAGAAGCCCCUGAUGGAUUCCCCAUUGCCUAAAUUCCUUUUUGCUUUUGACUAGCAUUUCAACCUUCUGGGGUCCCUAACUUCGUCCCAAAGUCAGCAGGAAGCAGUUUGGAAAAGAAUUUUGCCGUCCAUUUUCCCUGGUUAAAAUGCUAAGUCAAAAGGAACUCCCUUCCAUGGGGAUUCGAAACGACAGGGGAUGCUCACUGGAAGCCUUCAU
This 1077-nucleotide long non-coding RNA is filed under the name Cricetulus griseus (Chinese hamster). RNAcentral's name for it is "lncRNA (ENSCGRG00015033583.1)". Lineage: Eukaryota; Metazoa; Chordata; Mammalia; Rodentia; Cricetidae. The record is from RNAcentral.